CCUGGUACCUGUUUCCACCCUGCCCCCCACCUUCCGGGAAGAAGAGAACCAGGCUGAGGCUGGGCACGUGGAGGCCCAGCUUCCCUUGCAGCUACUGUGGUCAUGUGACUAAGUCCUGACCAGCACGCUGCGGUCAGCAGCAGCUUUGCCAUCUCUGGCUCACGCCGUUGACAGGAAAGGGCGUGUGUUUCCGUGCUUUCCUCUGCUCCCCCCGGGCUCGGAUGCACGU
Molecule: long non-coding RNA, 229 nt
Organism: Myotis davidii
Lineage: Eukaryota; Metazoa; Chordata; Mammalia; Chiroptera; Vespertilionidae
Exons: 3
Source: RefSeq, a predicted model, not a curated record